This 1417-nucleotide ribosomal RNA is filed under the name Staphylococcus aureus. Its description in RNAcentral is "bacterial SSU rRNA". It matches the Rfam family "Bacterial small subunit ribosomal RNA". Lineage: Bacteria; Bacillati; Bacillota; Bacilli; Caryophanales; Staphylococcaceae. The record is from RNAcentral.
CUGGGAUAACUUCGGGAAACCGGAGCUAAUACCGGAUAAUAUUUUGAACCGCAUGGUUCAAAAGUGAAAGACGGUCUUGCUGUCACUUAUAGAUGGAUCCGCGCUGCAUUAGCUAGUUGGUAAGGUAACGGCUUACCAAGGCAACGAUGCAUAGCCGACCUGAGAGGGUGAUCGGCCACACUGGAACUGAGACACGGUCCAGACUCCUACGGGAGGCAGCAGUAGGGAAUCUUCCGCAAUGGGCGAAAGCCUGACGGAGCAACGCCGCGUGAGUGAUGAAGGUCUUCGGAUCGUAAAACUCUGUUAUUAGGGAAGAACAUAUGUGUAAGUAACUGUGCACAUCUUGACGGUACCUAAUCAGAAAGCCACGGCUAACUACGUGCCAGCAGCCGCGGUAAUACGUAGGUGGCAAGCGUUAUCCGGAAUUAUUGGGCGUAAAGCGCGCGUAGGCGGUUUUUUAAGUCUGAUGUGAAAGCCCACGGCUCAACCGUGGAGGGUCAUUGGAAACUGGAAAACUUGAGUGCAGAAGAGGAAAGUGGAAUUCCAUGUGUAGCGGUGAAAUGCGCAGAGAUAUGGAGGAACACCAGUGGCGAAGGCGACUUUCUGGUCUGUAACUGACGCUGAUGUGCGAAAGCGUGGGGAUCAAACAGGAUUAGAUACCCUGGUAGUCCACGCCGUAAACGAUGAGUGCUAAGUGUUAGGGGGUUUCCGCCCCUUAGUGCUGCAGCUAACGCAUUAAGCACUCCGCCUGGGGAGUACGACCGCAAGGUUGAAACUCAAAGGAAUUGACGGGGACCCGCACAAGCGGUGGAGCAUGUGGUUUAAUUCGAAGCAACGCGAAGAACCUUACCAAAUCUUGACAUCCUUUGACAACUCUAGAGAUAGAGCCUUCCCCUUCGGGGGACAAAGUGACAGGUGGUGCAUGGUUGUCGUCAGCUCGUGUCGUGAGAUGUUGGGUUAAGUCCCGCAACGAGCGCAACCCUUAAGCUUAGUUGCCAUCAUUAAGUUGGGCACUCUAAGUUGACUGCCGGUGACAAACCGGAGGAAGGUGGGGAUGACGUCAAAUCAUCAUGCCCCUUAUGAUUUGGGCUACACACGUGCUACAAUGGACAAUACAAAGGGCAGCGAAACCGCGAGGUCAAGCAAAUCCCAUAAAGUUGUUCUCAGUUCGGAUUGUAGUCUGCAACUCGACUACAUGAAGCUGGAAUCGCUAGUAAUCGUAGAUCAGCAUGCUACGGUGAAUACGUUCCCGGGUCUUGUACACACCGCCCGUCACACCACGAGAGUUUGUAACACCCGAAGCCGGUGGAGUAACCUUUUAGGAGCUAGCCGUCGAAGGUGGGACAAAUGAUUGGGGUGAAGUCGUAACAAGGUAGCCGUAUCGGAAGGUGCGGCUGGAUCACCUCCUUUCUAAGGA